CGGUGGAGUAUGUGGUUUAAUUCGAUGCAACGCGAAGACCUUACCUGGUCUUGACAUCCCGGAGACCCUUAGGAACUAGGGGUGCUUCCAUCUGGAAGAAUCUGGAGACAGGUGCUGCAUGGCUGUCGUCAGCUCGUGUCGUGAGAUGUUGGGUUAAGUCCCGCAACGAGCGCAACCCUUGCCUUUAGUUGCCAGCAGUUCGGCUGGGCACUCUAAAGGGACUGCCGGUGUUAAACCGGAGGAAGGUGGGGAUGACGUCAAGUCCUCAUGGCCUUUAUGACCAGGGCUACACACGUACUACAAUGGCCGAUACAAAGGGCAGCGACACUGCGAGGUGAAGCCAAUCCCGUAAAAUCGGUCUCAGUCCGGAUUGGAGUCUGCAACUCGACUCCAUGAAGUUGGAAUCGCUAGUAAUCGUGGAUCAGCAUGCCACGGUGAAUACGUUCCCGGGCCUU
Molecule: ribosomal RNA, 455 nt
Filed under: uncultured Desulfobulbus sp.
Lineage: Bacteria; Pseudomonadati; Thermodesulfobacteriota; Desulfobulbia; Desulfobulbales; Desulfobulbaceae
Description: bacterial SSU rRNA
Rfam family: Bacterial small subunit ribosomal RNA
Source: RNAcentral